UAAACGACUCUCGGCAACGGAUAUCUCGGCUCUCGCAUCGAUGAAGAACGUAGCGAAAUGCGAUACUUGGUGUGAAUUGCAGAAUCCCGUGAACCAUCGAGUCUUUGAACGCAAGUUGCGCCCGAAGCCAUUAGGUUGAGGGCACGUCUGCCUGGGCGUCUCACG
Molecule: ribosomal RNA, 165 nt
Filed under: Pyrenaria diospyricarpa
Lineage: Eukaryota; Viridiplantae; Streptophyta; Magnoliopsida; Ericales; Theaceae
Description: 5.8S ribosomal RNA
Rfam family: 5.8S ribosomal RNA
About the family: 5.8S ribosomal RNA (5.8S rRNA) is a component of the large subunit of the eukaryotic ribosome. It is transcribed by RNA polymerase I as part of the 45S precursor that also contains 18S and 28S rRNA.
Source: RNAcentral